This 497-nucleotide ribosomal RNA is filed under the name uncultured bacterium. Its description in RNAcentral is "partial 16S ribosomal RNA". It matches the Rfam family "Bacterial small subunit ribosomal RNA", at positions 28 to 507 of the family's 1533-position model. The record is from RNAcentral.
GAUGAACGCUGGCGGCGUGCCUAAUACAUGCAAGUCGAGCGAACGGACGAGAAGCUUGCUUCUCUGAUGUUAGCGGCGGACGGGUGAGUAACACGUGGAUAACCUACCUAUAAGACUGGGGUAGCUGCGGGAGAACGGGGCUAAUACCGGAUGAUAUAUUGAACCGAAUUGUUCAAGAGUUGAAGAGGGUAUUGAUGUCACUUAUAGAUGAAUCAGCGCUGCAUUAGCAAGUUGGUAAGGUAAUGGCUUACCAAGACAACGAUGCAAACACGACCAGAAAGGGUGAUAGGCCAGCCUGGAACAGAGACACGGUCCACACCCCAACGAAAGGCAGCAGCACGGAAUCCUCCGCGAUGAGCGACAGCCUGACGUAGCAACAUCUCGUGAGUGAUGAAGGACCCCGGAUCGCCAACAUUUGUUAUCAGGGAAGAACAUAAGUGUAAGUACCUGGGAACAUCAUGACGGUACCUAAUCAGAAAGCCACGGCUAACUACGUG